AGUCGAGGGGCAGCGGUGGUGAAGGCUUGCCUUUACCAGCCGGCGACCGGCGCACGGGUGAGUAACACGUAUGCAACCUGCCUGCCACAGCCGGAUAAUCGGGAGAAAUCCCGUCUAAUACGGCAUAAUGCACCUAUGGGACAUCCUGUUGGUGCCAAAGGUUAAUUCCGGUGGCGGAUGGGCAUGCGUCGCAUUAGUUAGUUGGCGGUGUAACGGACCACCAAGACGACGAUGCGUAGGGGUUCUGAGAGGAAGGUCCCCCACACUGGUACUGAGACACGGACCAGACUCCUACGGGAGGCAGCAGUGAGGAAUAUUGGUCAAUGGGCGGGAGCCUGAACCAGCCAAGUCGCGUGAGGGAUGACGGCCCUAUGGGUUGUAAACCUCUUUUGCCGGGGAGCAAAGUGCCGCACGUGUGCGGUUUGGAGAGUACCCGGAGAAAAAGCAUCGGCUAACUCCGUGCCAGCAGCCGCGGUAAUACGGAGGAUGCGAGCGUUAUCCGGAUUUAUUGGGUUUAAAGGGUGCGUAGGCGGACGCUUAAGUCAGCGGUAAAAUUGCGGGGCUCAACCUCGUCGAGCCGUUGAAACUGGGUGCCUUGAGUGGGCGAGAAGUACGCGGAAUGCGUGGUGUAGCGGUGAAAUGCAUAGAUAUCACGCAGAACUCCGAUUGCGAAGGCAGCGUACCGGCGCCCAACUGACGCUGAAGCACGAAGGCGUGGGUAUCGAACA
RNAcentral lists this ribosomal RNA (728 nucleotides) under uncultured bacterium. Its description in RNAcentral is "bacterial SSU rRNA". It matches the Rfam family "Bacterial small subunit ribosomal RNA", at positions 60 to 774 of the family's 1533-position model. The record is from RNAcentral.